AGAUAGUUGGUGAGGUAAUGGCUCACCAAGUCAAUGACGCCUAACUGGUUUGAGAGGAUGAUCAGUCACACUGGAACUGAGACACGGUCCAGACUCCUACGGGAGGCAGCAGUGGGGAAUAUUGCACAAUGGAGGAAACUCUGAUGCAGCAACGCCGCGUGGAGGAUGACACUUUUCGGAGCGUAAACUCCUUUUAUAUAGGAAGAUAAUGACGGUACUAUAUGAAUAAGCACCGGCUAACUCCGUGCAGCAGCCGCGGUAAUACGGAGGGUGCAAGCGUUACUCGGAAUCACUGGGCGUAAAGAGCGUGUAGGCGGAUAGAUAAGUUUGAAGUGAAAUCCAAUGGCUUAACCAUUGAACUGCUUUGAAAACUGUCUAUCUAGAAUAUGGGAGAGGUAGAUGGAAUUUCUGGUGUAGGGGUAAAAUCCGUAGAGAUCAGAAGGAAUACCGAUUGCGAAGGCGAUCUACUGGAACAUUAUUGACGCUGAGACGCGAAAGCGUGGGGAGCAAACAGGAUUAGAUACCCUGGUAGUCCACGCCCUAAACGAUGUACACUAGUUGUUGCGAUGCUAGACAUUGCAGUAAUGCAGUUAACACAUUAAGUGUACCGCCUGGGGAGUACGGUCGCAAGAUUAAAACUCAAAGGAAUAGACGGGGACCCGCACAAGCGGUGGAGCAUGUGGUUUAAUUCGACAUACGCGAAGAACCUUACCUGGACUUGACAUAGUAAGAACUUUCUAGAGAUAGAUUGGUGUCUGCUUGCAGAAACUUAUAUACAGGUGCUGCACGGCUGUCGUCAGCUCGUGUCGUGAGAUGUUGGGUUAAGUCCCGCAACGAGCGCAACCCUCGUCGUUAGUUGCUAACAGUUCGGCUGAGAACUCUAACGAGACUGCCUACGCAAGUAGGAGGAAGGUGAGGACGACGUCAAGUCAUCAUGGCCCUUACGUCCAGGGCUACACACGUGCUACAAUGGGGCAUACAAAGAGCAGCAAUACGGUGACGUGGAGCAAAUCUCAAAAAUGCCUCCCAGUUCGGAUAGUAGUCUGCAACUCGACUACUUGAAGUUGGAAUCGCUAGUAAUCGUAGAUCAGCAAUGCUACGGUGAAUACGUUCCCGGGUCUUGUACUCACCGCCCGUCACACCAUGGGAGUUGAACUCAUUCGAAGCGGGGAUGCUAAAGUAGUUACCCUCCACAGUGGAUUCAGCGACUGGGGUGAAGUCGAACAAGGUAACCGUAGGAGAACCUGCGGUUG
This 1253-nucleotide ribosomal RNA is filed under the name metagenome. Its description in RNAcentral is "bacterial SSU rRNA". It matches the Rfam family "Bacterial small subunit ribosomal RNA", at positions 243 to 1520 of the family's 1533-position model. The record is from RNAcentral.